CGGGACGUAGUUCAGAGGUCAACACCCGCUUUGGGAGCGGGGAGUCGGAGGUUCGAAUCCUCCCGUCCCGA
The sequence is a transfer RNA, 71 nucleotides long. It matches the Rfam family "tRNA". From Rfam's summary of the family: Transfer RNA (tRNA) molecules are approximately 80 nucleotides in length. Their secondary structure includes four short double-helical elements and three loops (D, anti-codon, and T loops).